GCAUCGGUGGUUUAGUGGUAAAAUUAGCCGUUGCCAUCCGCCUCUCACAACGACAGGAUAGGACAGUUUCGGCUAGCCCCGGGUUCGAUUCCCGGCCGAUGCA
Non-coding RNA from Ascochyta clinopodiicola, 103 nucleotides. Lineage: Eukaryota; Fungi; Ascomycota; Dothideomycetes; Pleosporales; Didymellaceae. The record is from the annotation of a GenBank genome assembly.